Molecule: transfer RNA, 72 nt
Filed under: Ictidomys tridecemlineatus (thirteen-lined ground squirrel)
Lineage: Eukaryota; Metazoa; Chordata; Mammalia; Rodentia; Sciuridae
Description: Spermophilus tridecemlineatus (thirteen-lined ground squirrel) tRNA
Rfam family: tRNA
About the family: Transfer RNA (tRNA) molecules are approximately 80 nucleotides in length. Their secondary structure includes four short double-helical elements and three loops (D, anti-codon, and T loops).
Source: Rfam by way of RNAcentral
GGGGGUGUGGCUCCGUGGUGGAGCACUUGCCUAGCAUGCAUGAGGCCCUGGGUUCAAUUCCCAGCUCCACAA